Amniculicola lignicola CBS 123094 is the source of this 74-nucleotide non-coding RNA. NCBI's taxonomy places the organism in Eukaryota, Fungi, Ascomycota, Dothideomycetes, Pleosporales, Amniculicolaceae. The record is from the annotation of a GenBank genome assembly.
GGUCGAUUAGCUCAGUUGGUUAGAGCGUGGUGCUAAUAACGCCAAGGCCGAGGGUUCGACCCCCUCAUUGACCA